UACAGAGGUCUCAAGCGUUGUUCGGAUUCAUUGGGCGUAAAGGGCGCGUAGGUGGCGCGGGAAGUCUUCGGUGAAAGCUCAGGGCUCAACCCUGAGUCGGCCGGCGAUACUCCCGUGCUUGAGCUCACUGGAGGCAGAUGGAACUCCGGGUGUAGCGGUGGAAUGCGUAGAGAUCCGGAAGAACACCGGUGGCGAAGGCGGUCUGCUGGGGUGAUGCUGACACUGAUGCGCGACAGCGUGGGGAGCAAACAGG
Molecule: ribosomal RNA, 253 nt
Filed under: uncultured prokaryote
Description: partial 16S ribosomal RNA
Rfam family: Bacterial small subunit ribosomal RNA
Source: RNAcentral